GAUUCACUAGCUUUCGGUGGUGGAGGAGGAGAAUUUGCGCUUUGGCUUGAUGGAGAUCUCUACCAUGGAAGAAGCCAUUCUUGUAAAACGUUUGGGAAUCGUACACUUUCUAAGAAGGAAGAUUUCUUUAUCCAAGAUAUUGAAAUCUGGGCUUUUGAAUAAAUAAAAUGCUCUCUGUCUUAGCAGGAGAAUGGCCCAAACCUGACAUGGACAAGCAUUGUUUGGAAAGUUCAAGAAGCAAUACAGUGUAACAUGUCACUUGUGCUUUAAAAUUAGUCUGUAUCACCAUUUAUUACAGUUAUAAUUUUGGAGUUUAUUUUUCAAAUCAUGUUCUUGUCCCAGAGUUCUUUAGGUUAACACUAGGGACUGCGUCCAUGUACUAGUAUAACAGCUUGGGUUUGUUAGAAUUUGGGCAACAUUUUGAUUAUAAUGACAACUUCAUUUUCACAUGUUACUCAGUUCCCUAAUAGGAUGGUGCUCUUUUGUUGAACCUGUAUUGAUUUUUUUUUUUUUAACUAUAUUGAUUCGUUUACUAGAACAGUCUAAUUGGGGCAUUGAGGAAAUGAAGACUGGAUACUUCUGUAUCUGUGAAGUUGGCACAGGUAACAUUUGGACAUGUUCAUCUUAUUCUUAGGAAGGAAAAAAUCACUUGCCAAAAUAAUACAUACUUCAUAGACCACUGAGUUCUAGUUUUUAUUCACACUACAACAUUCUCUUUAACGAUGUUGCAGGUAUUCUCAAUUUCCUUUUAAGAAAAAUGAAAUGUGAGGAGAAUUCUGGUUGUAAUAGAUGACAGUACAUAUGAUCUGCAGGUUUGGGCAUAUGCUUUCAUCAUUAAAUUAUCUGAUAAAGUUACAAGUCACAAAGGAGAAUGAGAACUUAAUGAUUCUAUUGGAUUUAAUAUAUUAGCAAGAAAACAUACUAUUUACAUAUGUGUAGCUUAGUAAGGCAUUAACAUAAGUACAAAAACUAUGAAACAGAUGCAUAUUUCCUCAACAUACUGUGUCAGGUAUACUGUUUUAUAAUUUGGUUGUUUUAGCCUUAUUGCACACCAACUCCCAAAAUAUAGGUUACUCUUGUUC
This 1082-nucleotide long non-coding RNA is filed under the name Homo sapiens (human). RNAcentral describes it as "HSALNT0141765". Lineage: Eukaryota; Metazoa; Chordata; Mammalia; Primates; Hominidae. The record is from RNAcentral.